UACAGAGGGUGCAAGCGUUAAUCGGAUUUACUGGGCGUAAAGCGUGUGUAGGUGGCCGCGUAAGUCGAUUGUGAAAUCCCUGGGCUCAACCUGGGAAUUGCAGUCGAUACUGCGGGGCUCGAGUUCGGUAGAGGGCAGCAGAAUUCCCGGUGUAGCGGUGAAAUGCGUAGAUAUCGGGAGGAAUACCGAUGGCGAAGGCAACUGCCUGGGCCUGAACUGACACUGUGACGCGAAAGCGUGGGUAGCAAACAGG
Molecule: ribosomal RNA, 253 nt
Filed under: uncultured bacterium
Lineage: Bacteria
Description: partial 16S ribosomal RNA
Rfam family: Bacterial small subunit ribosomal RNA
Source: RNAcentral